This 421-nucleotide ribosomal RNA is filed under the name uncultured bacterium. RNAcentral describes it as "bacterial SSU rRNA". It matches the Rfam family "Bacterial small subunit ribosomal RNA", at positions 420 to 856 of the family's 1533-position model. The record is from RNAcentral.
GGGUUGUAAACCUCUUUUCUCAGGGAAGAAUAAUGACGGUACCUGAGGAAUAAGUCUCGGCUAACUACGUGCCAGCAGCCGCGGUAAUACGUAGGAGGCGAGCGUUAUCCGGAUUUAUUGGGCGUAAAGUGGGCGUAGGUGGUCUUUCAAGUCAGAUGUGAAAUCUCCCGGCUCAACUGGGAGGGGUCAUCUGAUACUGUUGGACUUGAGUACAGCAGGGGAAAAUGGAAUUCCCGGUGUAGUGGUGAAAUGCGUAGAUAUCGGGAGGAACACCAGAGGCGAAGGCGAUUUUCCAGGCUGAAACUGACACUGAGGCCCGAAAGCGUGGGGAGCGAACAGAAUUAGAUACUCUGGUAGUCCACGCCUUAAACUAUGGACACUAGGUAUAGGGAGUAUCGACCCUCUCUGUGCCGAAGCUAAC